UACGAAGGGGGCUAGCGUUGCUCGGAAUCACUGGGCGUAAAGCGCACGUAGGCGGCUUCUCAAGUCAGGGGUGAAAUCCUGGAGCUCAACUCCAGAACUGCCUUUGAUACUGAGGAGCUCGAGUCCGGGAGAGGUGAGUGGAACUGCGAGUGUAGAGGUGAAAUUCGUAGAUAUUCGCAAGAACACCAGUGGCGAAGGCGGCUCACUGGCCCGAUACUGACGCUGAGGCACGAAAGCGUGGGGAGCAAACAGG
Molecule: ribosomal RNA, 253 nt
Filed under: uncultured bacterium
Lineage: Bacteria
Description: partial 16S ribosomal RNA
Rfam family: Bacterial small subunit ribosomal RNA
Source: RNAcentral